AAUCAACGCUGGCGGCGUGCCUCAGACAUGCAAGUCGAACGAUUAAACUUUCCUUCGGGAAAGAUAUAAAGUGGCGCACGGGUGAGUAACACGUAAGUAAUCUACCUUUGAGUGGGGAAUAACGUUCGGAAACGGACGCUAAUACCGCAUAAUGCAGCGGCACCUAAUGGUGACAGUUGUUAAAGGAGCAAUCCGCUUAAAGAGGAGCUUGCGGCAGAUUAGCUAGUUGGUAAGGUAACGGCUUACCAAGGCUACGAUCUGUAACCGGUCUAAGAGGACGGUCGGUCACACUGACACUGAAUAACGGGUCAGACUCCUACGGGAGGCAGCAGUCGGGAAUUUUGGGCAAUGGGCGAAAGCCUGACCCAGCAACGCCGCGUGAAGGAUGAAGUAUUUCGGUAUGUAAACUUCGAAAGAAUGGGAAGAAUCAAUGACGGUACCAUUUAUAAGGUCCGGCUAACUACGUGCCAGCCGCCGCAGUAAU
RNAcentral lists this ribosomal RNA (484 nucleotides) under uncultured bacterium. Its description in RNAcentral is "bacterial SSU rRNA". It matches the Rfam family "Bacterial small subunit ribosomal RNA", at positions 32 to 524 of the family's 1533-position model. The record is from RNAcentral.